UGGGAAAGCAGGAAGUGGUUGUGGAGAGAGACGACUGUCCUCGCCACUAAUUGAUAUAUGAUUGAUGCUCAACCAUGCGACGGUGCCGGUUAGCAAUUUAAGUAUCCAGAGGGCUACGUUUUGACUGAAGGCAGAAGAGAGGGGGGUGAAAAACCUGAGAACCGCACACCACACAGUGUGCUCGCAGUCAAGGAUACAAAACAAACAACAGAGGCCAGUCUGCGUGUGUCUGUGUCUCCAGCAACUUGUUUGAAAAGAAACGCACGAGUGAUGGAACGGGAUGACAACAUCGUCAUCCGUGGGGUAACGGCGUGUGUGGGGGCCGGCGAACGGCUCGCCCUUCGCUCGCAACACUUCCGAAAAUAAUCACGAUCGCCUUUGGGGAGGUCUGAGGAAAUAGGGAAGCGGCGUUAUCUCGUCAAUCCAAUCCAAAAAAACAAUCAGAAGGAUGGUCAUCUCUGUGGACUUCUAAAACCAAAUCCCACAAAAGAGUAUUGAACUAAUGCUUCUUUUUACGUCUUCCUACUAAAUGACUGUAUGUUUAUUUUGCACGUUGCCAUUUUGCAUAUAAAUGAGAUGCCGCUGGGGGGGGGGCAAAGCUCUACUGCUUCCAAGAGACGGCAGCGUCAAUGUCUUUCAAUGUACUUUAAUUCGCAUGAACUAUCGCGCUUUUUCUCUGGUGUUUAGCUAACAUUUCUACUAGCAUUUGAGGAAGGGGUGGCCGGGCUCUGAGCUAGAAACGUUAGACAAUGCAGGCCGAUUGCUUAGGCAUUGCAUCAUUGCUGUGCAACUUCUUUUUCCCAUGCUUCGAGCAUGGAUGAACUGCAAAAAAAAAAGAAAAGAGGCCUAUUAAAGUACAUGGGACUUUUUUUUUUAGUUGUAUUCAUGCUCGUAAAAAGAGUUUGACCGUAGUUUGAGAGGAAAAUGUGUCCUCACUAGACCUCUGGUGACUUGGACCAUGGCUCUUUUGUGACUCAAUCUGCAGUAAAGUUAUAGACUGCAACUUUAGCGUCAGCACUAGCUGUCAAUUGACUAUACUGCCAUAUAUAUUUGUAAUUUAUGCUUUGAAAUUCAUUUGUGUUUUAAAGUGUUAGAACUCUUUCCAACAACAUGCAUUUGAAGCAGCGCUGAGUAACGAUGCAGACAAUAAUCUCACGCUAGCCACGGAGGAGCUAUAUAAGCUAUAUGCUUUGUUUGCUUUCAUUUCAUUGCCAAAGUUGCAUGCUAAAACAGCAGAUUAGAAUUUGAACAGAGCUGUGACUUGCAAGCAAAACAAGUGUGAGAGUGCGUGUACGCCUGCAUGUGAGUGAGAGAGAGAGAGAGAGAGAGAGACCGAGAGAGACUGAAUAAAGACAUUGAGGGGAUUUCCUGGUGCCGAGUGACACAUCAUGGCAAAGGCAUCCGGCAGGAUUAGCAGCCGCAGCCAAACUUGUACUCACUUUGGUUCCACGCGUCCAAAAAAUUCGGCCUUACAAAUAUACGCGAAUAACUGUGGCCUGUUUGAGAAGUUAACAUUUCACUAACAGAUUAUGUGAGCAUAGUUAAUGUUCAAUUCCUUUAUUGAGGUUUAUUUCUGCAAAUGCAUUUUGGGAAUAAAAGUGAUGUGCACACAAAACAUUAACACGGACACACAAGAGAGCAGAGCAGCCUCACAUUGGGUGUCAACUGGAACUCCAUAUUGCGUUAUUAAAAAUCAAAACAAAGUUGGCUAUCUCCAGAUUGGAACCAGGCCUCACCCUUGAGACGUCUUCAUGCAUGCAAUCAUAAUAAACAUAUGCCCUAAAUUUUAGGUUGAUUGGUGAAUUUGCUGUCGGGGUCUAUUCGUAUGUUUUUCGUGAUUGUUUUUUUUUAUUGCAUACUCUUGAUUGAGGAUCCUUUGGGAGAGUUUCGGGAUAGGAGUUCUACACAGUAGAAUAUUAUAGAGUGCUCCUUUUUUAUGUAAUAUUUUUUUCAAUAUAUUUUUUUGAGGGGAGCUAGAACAUUCACUUUAAUUGACGAGUAAAAGGGCAGUGAAGUCAAGUUACCUUGUAAAUUCCUGGGCUGUCGGAGUCCAUUUUGGAGACCGUCAUCUGUAAAAACAAGGCAGGUCCAAAACAUGCUUGGUUUAGUCUGCUUGGACAAAAAAAUAUUGAUCUGAAUAUCGCAAAGCUUUAUCGUCUCAAUUGUGGCCGUAUACCUGCACAAUGUACGGACUUUAAAAGUGCAUUAAACGGAGGGAACAUUUCACAACAAUGUCGUAAAAAUAAACGGCCCAUCUGGUGCGCACUUUUUUUUUUAUGUGUUAUUUUCUUUUCUCCCGCCAGAGGAAGUGUGAGGAAGGUGCGCUCUCGCUCGUGCACCGCCACUCACCCAUGUUUACUGUCAUCAUCAGGAAGUGGCCCCGAUGAACUUGAGCACGGAGCUCAACUUCUCUCGGCCGGCGGCGGACACUUCACCCUGCAAGACACAAACACUUUUUCAGGCAUGCAAACGAGAAGUGUGCUUUCGAUGAAUGCAAAAACAGGACGCAGGUGGUACUUUCCACACUUUUCCCUAGAUUGGCAUUUCAUCGUUAUUUAACCAGGGACGCUCUCAUGAGAGCGACGUAUCCUUUUUUGACAGUCAAGCUGCUUGCGGAUUCCUGUGAAUUCCCUCAAGUCUUGGCUGUUUCCGAGAGGCGGCGGCGGCGGUGGAGGAAUUGCGGCGUGUUUGAUGUUGCUUCCAAGUCCUCUCCUACCCUCCCCUACAACGCCCCCGCUUCAGGUUGUCACAGUGACAUGAACGGAGCGCUCCGGAAUUCCAAGAGGGCCAAUAAACACACCACAGAAGACAGGUAAUGGUGAUGACAAGGGUAAAGUGUGCUAAUAACCAUGGAGUCAUUUUCUAUAGUAGCAAGGGUUUUCUUAUUUAUCUGUGCAUCAAAAUUAAAUAAAUGUACUUUUGAACA
This is a long non-coding RNA of Syngnathus typhle (broad-nosed pipefish), 2926 nucleotides long. RefSeq lists it as uncharacterized. Lineage: Eukaryota; Metazoa; Chordata; Actinopteri; Syngnathiformes; Syngnathidae. The transcript has 2 exons. The record is from RefSeq and is a predicted model, not a curated record.